UACAGAGGGUGCGAGCGUUGUUCGGAAUUAUUGGGCGUAAGGCGCUUGUAGGCGGCUUGUUAAGUUCCGUGUGAAAUCCCCAGGCUUAACCUGGGAAGUGCGCGGAAAACUGGCGAGCUUGAGUGCCGGAGAGGGUCGCGGAAUUCCCGGUGUAGAGGUGAAAUUCGUAGAUAUCGGAAGGAACACCGGUGGCGAAAGCGGCGCGCUGGAUCUCUUCUGACGCUGAGGCGCGAAAGCCAGGGGAGCGAACGGG
RNAcentral lists this ribosomal RNA (253 nucleotides) under uncultured bacterium. Its description in RNAcentral is "partial 16S ribosomal RNA". It matches the Rfam family "Bacterial small subunit ribosomal RNA", at positions 524 to 776 of the family's 1533-position model. The record is from RNAcentral.